Long non-coding RNA from Anopheles funestus (African malaria mosquito), 13979 nucleotides. RefSeq lists it as uncharacterized. The record is from RefSeq and is a predicted model, not a curated record. The transcript has 4 exons. NCBI's taxonomy places the organism in Eukaryota, Metazoa, Arthropoda, Insecta, Diptera, Culicidae.
GCAUAUUUUCGAUCGAAAUUGAAAAAUAAUAACCACAGACAGCUUUAUCAGUGUUCAAAUAAUGCUCCAGUCAUUGGUUGGACAUAUUCGGAAGGUGGAGAAGACAACAGCAUUAUUUGGCCACGAUAUAUACCAUCUGUUCGCGUGAGGUGGGAAAAGUCCAGCUUUCGAACCGGUAUCACGCGAGCUACAUUUUUAUUACUUUUUCAUUAGCGUAAUCAUCAUCGAUAGCCUUGGUCAUGCAUCCGAACAGGAGAAGCCGCUUUUUUAUGGGCUCGUUGUUGAACCAUCCAGCUCGUCUUGACCUUUCUCUAUCUCUCUCUCUCUACCUACGUCUCUAUCUCUUUCUUUAUCUCACUGUUUCUCUUUCUUUCUUUUUUGUAAUAGACUUGGUUGCACCCUCUAAACCAUGGAUCUACUACCGUUCGACCGAUUUCGAAAGGACAGAAGAAUGGUUUUAAUGGGAAAUAAAUCUGUUCAUUAAAAAUUAGCAAUUAUUACUCUUCCUUCUCUCUAACCUUUCUCAAUCGGCUCGGUAUAAAGUUGAAAACUGUCUGCGAACCUGCGGACCGGAAGCAUGUGAUUCAUAUUCGCUUAAGAUGCCGCGAAAGAAUGUUGAUAUUAAGUAUUCGUUCGUUGCCUCGUCGUCACUCUCUAAUUGUAGAACAUAACUUAAGAAUACUAUACAUGAUGUGUACCUAGCAUCAAAUUAGAGUUUAAUCAAUGUAAUCGAAAAAGGACGCGAUAAACAAAUAUAUAAGCUUAAAUAAUAUCAAUUAUUGUUUAAGCAACAUUUUUCGAUUGAAGCUUUAAUAGUAACAUUUUGAAAAUGCAUACAUGUAUCAAUAAAGUUUUAUUGUAUUAUUAAUACAAUACUGAAUCACAAAUUCCUGUUAGCAUAAAUAUAAUCUGUGAUUAGCAUAAGCGAAAAUGAGGGAAGACACAUAAUUCUAUAAUGAUUUAUCAUCAGUGCUUUAAUAUGUAACCUGAUCCGGAAGUAUAGCGAUAACGAUAUCGAGGAAGAAGAAAAAAAACUCAACAUACCAAAAACACAUAUUCGACUGCGGCAAAUUGAUUAAUUCUUCAAUAUAUCACGCAUAUCAUCAGGAGAGAUAAUAGAUUCACAUAUUCCCAUCAGGAGGGAAAAAAGCCCACACAGACCAACGCACCUGUGGCCUCCAAAAGUGAUAGUCCGACAUGAUAAAUCUAUUUCCAUCCACUUUGGAUUCAUGCGCAUUUCAGCUACGAUCACUACGCUACAACGAAAAGCUUUGCGUGUUUGUCUUCGUUUUAUGUUACCAACAGCUUUCUUCAUGAAUGGUGAGUACACACCAAAAAUUUCUCAAAAACAAGGCAAUAAUAGAGGAAUACUGCAAAGAACAUCUCAACCAACAAACUCAAUCAGUUUGUAACUGUCAGUUCCUAGUGACAGCUUCCUGCCAGCGAGAAAGACAAGAACUCGGGAACGAUUUUUUUCAUCACUUAGUCAGCAAUAUUUUGCACCUGAUGUGAAUAAAAAGAAAUCACCCAUUUAUAGUUUAAACAUGUCUACGAAAUAAAAAAAAAAUACGAAAAAACGUGGAAACCCAUUCCUUCAUUUUUGCCCGGAAUAAGUACGGAAAAUCAUUGAGCAUAAGUCAUAAACUAGAAGGAAACCCUUCCUGUGUAAGAAAAAUGAAGAAUCACUAUUGAAAAGUCAUGCAAAAAACAUGCGAUUUUCCAUGCCGCAUGAGAAGUGAUGAGAAUAGUACAAACAGGACACUCCUAGAUAGCUGCAAUAUUUGUGGGUACAAAUAUUGCACAGUCACAGUCAAAGGGUGGCUCUUGUUGGCAUGUAGAACAAAAAUGACUUGUAAGUUCGUCCUUUUUUUAAUGAUGGUUUGAUAGGAGGAACCAAAGAAAAAGGUUUGUCAUUUGAUAACGAUUUGUGUCUUACCAGAAAUUCUUGGAAGUUGAUGUUCUUCUUCUGGUAAGAAUAUUUCUUUUCAUGAUUGAAGAUUUAGAAUUCCUUCAGGAUAUUGUCAUGUUGUUAACAAGCGGUUCUGUUGAUUGCUUCAUACAUUGCUUUAUGUCUAGAUUCAACUAUUCUUGAAAAGGAAACUGAAUUUAGGAAAUACUUAAUCAGUUGUUAAAUUUAACAAAAUCAAUAAAAGCCAAUCAUACAUAAACAUUACAAACUAACCCAAAGCAAAUUUCAUCCUAAAUAAACAAAUUUCAACGCGACUUAGAAAAGUGAUUGCAAAAUUGAGCCAACACAUAGAACAUGUACAUCAAAUGCAGUAUUAAGAAGUCAUGAAUUUAAAUUGCCCAACUUGCCAUGCAUAAUGAGGUGGUUCAAUUGAAUAAUUUACAUCUUGAUCCGCUUUUUUCAAUAAGCCCUUAAAAUUGGUUAAGAGAAGAAUCUUAAUAUAUAGACGUUCUUAAAGUAUGCAUAUGCAAGUAUAUUGAACAGGUUGAGGUAUAUCCCAGUGUUUUUUGAUAAUCUUACGAUAUUUGAAAAACGUAGGUACGUGAAGGAGUGUUUUAAUAACGUAUGAGAAGUAAUGGUGUGUUUAUUCGUAUUUAUUCGUUAUUUGGAAAAUAAGGCCAGCUUAUUUUAUAGUUAACUAACCUUAUAGUUGUAAAGUUAGAUAAAAAAGCAGAUGAAUUGCCUCAAUUAUUCUUGGCACGGUUAUCCUAGAAACAAUUAUAUUAUCAUACGUAUCCGAAAGAGAGCCAGAAUUAGUUGAGCAGAAGAAAAGAAAUAUUUUUGUAUAAAAAUAAUCUACCCCAAGUAGAACAAAAAUAAUACUCAAAUAAACAAUGCUAUAUUUCUGACAAAAAUGUUAUUGAAGAAUGUUGGGAUAGAAGGUUAAGAAUGCGUCAAACCAUAAAAAAUUGUAAUGGAAUGUCAACAGAAUGGAUGGAAAAGGCAAAGGAUACAAAAAAAUUUAACAAACCUAUAUAUGAACGAGCGAAACCGAAACGAGGUAGAAUGGAUGAAUGCGAAACACAGUAGAGGGUGAAAAUCAAAAGUGGGCUCGUGAUUCAAAUGAUUCGUCGAAGGUUGGAAAAAAUGGCAGUACGAUGAGCUGAAUUAAGAAACUAAAUCAAAUUUAGAAGUUUAUGAAGGCGAGCCCAGCAGCACAACGAAAUAGAGCAGAAAAAGCAAAAGAUUUUACUUCACAAUAGUAUUCCUUUCCAUCAGUUACGCGAUUACUUCACGACUUUUACAUGAAAGCCUCCCGUUCUCUAUUGGUGUGUUGAAGUAAUACCGAAGAAGGGCGUUUUAUUAUCACAUUUUGGUUAGAAAUCAAUCGAAACGAUUUCAAUAUUCAAUCAAAACAGUGGUUUUAGAAGAACUUUUACAAUUUCCCAAAACCUCAACCACAAUCAGAAUGACGAUGCAUCAAUAUUGAAAAACUAACUGAUUUUUAGAAACGAAAUCCCAAGCGGUUCAAUUUAAAUCCCCAUGCACGUCCUUCUAUUGUUUGAGUUUGUAUGAAUGGAAUGUAGAUUCCAGAAGGAUGCACGAACUUGGGCUUAGAUCCGGGAAACCAAAACUGACGCCGGAAACAUCGAACCGUAUCGUUAACAAAGCAACAUUUGCACCCCCUCGGAAUGUGGGCCAUUUUGGAGGACCUUCAAUCAACAAAUCAACCAAUUCAAAAUGAGUGAAACUAGUGAAGCGUAACGAGACCGUUACUCCUUCCAACAAGCGAUUGAAAAGGAUCACUCUUGCCAACAAGAAAAACCGCUUUUACAGGGUUGAAGUGAGAGAAGACGGUGAGUGGAGUUUUGGAGCAUCACUUCGAGGGACAAGUUGGAUGUGCUUUUGCUUGUUGCGUUGUUAAUUAAAGUUUAUUCAGAUGUUUCUUUCCGUUUGCUCUGUAUUUUUUGCUGUUGUCAAUCUAAACCAUUUGCUGUGUUGUUUUGUGUUUGUCUGCACGAGUGUGGCCGUGGGGAUUCGUAACCAACUAAGGGUAACUGUGGAAUCUGGGAUAGCAUUGAUGCUUUUUGGGAGUGUUAAAAUUUUGUUCAACGAAUUGUUUAAGUUGAAAUCCAUUCGCAUAAAUUUUACGCUACUCUGAUAAGGGUUGCUCUCUGAGAGUUUUCUAGGAGUGAGGAUUCAAUGAACAUGACAUUGAUUGGACCAUUAGCUUACCGAGUACCGAGCUGAUUAAAUGAAAGAAUGGAUAAUAAGUUUGAUAUCUUAAUUAAGUAAAACUUGUUGAUUGAUAAAACUAAACAUUGAUUGUGUUACGUAAGGCCAAGUGAAGAUUUUGGGAUUUUGCUUUUGAAUUGCUAAGGACGGAAAGAAACAUCCGAAUAAACUUUAAUUAUCAACGCAACAAGCAAAAGCACAUCCAACUUAAUCCAUGAAUUGAUGUUUGACAUUACAUUUAUUUCUCCAAACACAAACAAAACUAUUCAACUGUUAACAUAUUUCAAUAGUUCAAGUUAUCUCUAUUUGAAAUAGAGAUGUGCAAAGUGAGUAAGAGUAAGAUAGUGAGUUGAAACGUUGUAUUGAACGAGUUUCGUUCACUCACCACGAUGAGUUUUAGUGACUCUUUUUUCACUUACUCACUCAUGAGUGUAAGUAUGAAGCCGUGGUGAGUCGAGUUGCAAAAAGAGUAAAUACGUGAGUUGAAACGAAAAUGUGCGAGUGAGUUGAAACGAAAAUGAGUUGAAACGAAACGUUUGAUACACAUGAGUUUAGACGGAAUACAUGUGUACAAUACCCAAACUAGCCAAAUAAAUAUACUUCUCGCUCUGCCUAACUAUCAAACCUGCAUAAGCGAACAAGCGGGAUAGUGUGAUCGGGAAGGAUAUUAAACGGGAUCCGUCUCUGCUUAAGAGAUUAGCAAAUUUUUAGAAUUUUUAUUAAUAUUUUUUUUUAUUUUUUUAUUUAAAGCAUUAUUUGAGUAAAAAACACUUAUUUCAACCAAUUCGCAUUAAAUUAAAUCAAUGUAUAAAAUUUUGAUAAAUAAAUCAAAAAAAACGUAAGGCUUUUUUGAAAUUUUGAACUCGAAAAUUUCGAGUGGAACAUUUUUUUGAAUUUUUUUUCUGAUUUUUUAUUCUUUUUUUAAUUUAAAGCACUAUUUAAGUGAAAAGAAAAUAUAUCGCAUUUAAAAUUUUUGCUACAUUGCUCAAAAAUGAGGAAAAUUUUACAUUUUCUCAAACAGGGUAAGGAACUUGGUUCCUCGAAUAACUUCUGGCACAGACAUCUAAGGGCAUGGCUCUCCAAGAAGAAAAUGUAGCCAUUGGUGCCAUCUAUCGACCACAGGUUAAAGAUUGGCGAUCCGUUGGAUACCGACCGAGUUAUAGGCAAAACUUGGUGCAAAAAUGAGGAAAGUUUUACAUUUUCUCAAACAGGGUAAGGAACUUGGUUCCUCGAAUAACUUCUGGCACAGACAUCUGAGGGCAUGGCUGUCCAAGAAGAAAAUGUAGCCAUUGGUGCCAUCUAUCGACCACAGGUUAAAGAUUGGCGAUCCGUUGGAUACCGACCGAGUUAUAGGCAAAACUUGGUGCAAAAAUGAGGAAAAUUUUCAUUUUUUUUUUAAUUUUUUGAUUUAUUUAUUAUUUUUCACUCUUUUUUUUAUUUCAAGCAUUAUUAGAGUGAAAAGAAACUCAUUGCAACCCAUUGGCAUUAAAAUAAAACAAUUUAAUUUUUUUUGCAAAAUUUCCCAAAAAAAUCGUAAGGGGUAAGCCUUAUGAAAUUUUCGAGUGGAAUUUUUUUUUGAAAUUUUUUUCUGAUUUUUUAUCCUUUUUUUAAUUUAAAGCACUAUUUAAGUGAAAAGAAACUUAUUGCAACAAAUUCCCAUCAAAAUAUAUCACAUUUAAAAUUUUUGCUACAUUGCUCAAAAAUGAGGAAAAUUUUACAUUUUCUCAAACAGGGUAAGGAACUUGGUUCCUCGAAUAACUUCUGGCACAGACAUCUAAGGGCAUGGCUGUCCAAGAAGAAAAUGUAGCCAUUGGUGCCGUCUAUCGACCACAGGUUAAAGAUUGGCGAUCCGUUGGAUACCGACCGAGUUAUAGGCAAAACUUGGUGCAAAAAUAAGGAAUAUUUUACAUUUUCUCAAACAGGGUAAGGAACUUGGUUCCUCGAAUAACUUCUGGCACAGACAUCUGAGGGCAUGGCUGUACAAGAAGAAAAUGUAGCCAUUGGUGCCAUCUAUCGACCACAGGUUAAAGAUUGGCGAUCCGGUGGAUACCGACCGAGUUAUAGGCAAAACUUGGUGCAAAAAUGAGGAAAAUUUUCAUUUUUUUUUUAAUUUUUUGAUUUAUUUAUUAUUUUUCAAUCUUUUUUUUAUUUCAAGCAUUAUUAGAGUGAAAAGAAACUCAUUGCAACCCAUUGGCAUUAAAAUAAAACAAUUUAAUUUUUUUUUCAAAAUUUCCCAAAAAAAUCGUAAGGGGAAAGCCUUAUGAAAUUUUCGAGUGGAAAUUUUUUUUGAAAUUUUUUUCUGAUUUUUUAUUCUUUUUUUAAUUUAAAGCACUAUUUAAGUGAAAAGAAACUUAUUGCAACAAAUUCCCAUCAAAAUAUAUCACAUUUAAAAUUUUUGCUACAUUGCUCAAAAAUGAGGAAAAUUUUACAUUUUCUCAAACAGGGUAAGGAACUUGGUUCCUCGAAUAACUUCUGGCACAGACAUCUAAGGGCAUGGCUGUCCAAGAAGAAAAUGUAGCCAUUGGUGCCAUCUAUCGACCACAGGUUAAAGAUUGGCGAUCCGUUGGAUACCGACCGAGUUAUAGGCAAAAUUUGGUGCAAAAAUGAGGAAAAUUUUCAUUUUUUUUGAAUUCUUUGAUUUAUUUAUUAUUUUUCACUCUUUUUUUUAUUUCAAGCAUUAUUAGAGUGAAAAGAAACUCAUUGCAACCCAUUGGCAUUAAAAUAAAACAAUUUAAUUUUUUUUGCAAAAUUUCCCAAAAAAAUCGUAAGGGGUAAGCCUUAUGAAAUUUUCGAGUGGAAAUUUUUUUUGAAAUUUUUUUCUGAUUUUUUAUUCUUUUUUUAAUUUAAAGCACUAUUUAAGUGAAAAGAAACUUAUUGCAACAAAUUCCCAUCAAAAUAUAUCACAUUUAAAAUUUUUGCUACAUUGCUCAAAAAUGAGGAAAAUUUUACAUUUUCUCAAACAGGGUAAGGAACUUGGUUCCUCGAAUAACUUCUGGCACAGACAUCUAAGGGCAUGGCUGUCCAAGAAGAAAAUGUAGCCAUUGGUGCCGUCUAUCGACCACAGGUUAAAGAUUGGCGAUCCGUUGGAUACCGACCGAGUUAUAGGCAAAACUUGGUGCAAAAAUGAGGAAAAUUUUCAUUUUUUUUUUUUAAUUUUUUGAUUUAUUUAUUAUUUUUCACUCUUUUUUUUUUAUUUCAAGCAUUAUUAGAGUGAAAAGAAACUCAUUGCAACCCAUUGGCAUUAAAAUAAAACAAUUUAAUUUUUUUUGCAAAAUUUCCCAAAAAAAUCGUAAGGGGUAAGCCUUAUGAAAUUUUCGAGUGGAAAUUUUUUGUGAAAUUUUUUUCUGAUUUUUUAUUCUUUUUUUAAUUUAAAGCACUAUUUAAGUGAAAAGAAACUUAUUGCAACAAAUUCCCAUCAAAAUAUAUCACAUUUAAAAUUUUUGCUACAUUGCUCAAAAAUGAGGAAAAUUUUACAUUUUCUCAAACAGGGUAAGGAACUUGGUUCCUCGAAUAACUUCUGGCACAGACAUCUAAGGGCAUGGCUGUCCAAGAAGAAAAUGUAGCCAUUGGUGCCAUCUAUCGACCACAGGUUAAAGAUUGGCGAUCCGUUGGAUACCGACCGAGUUAUAGGCAAAACUUGGUGCAAAAAUGAGGAAAAUUUUACAUUUUCUCAAACAGGGUAAUGAACUUGGUUCCUCGAAUAACUUCUGGCACAGACAUCUGAGGGCAUGGCUGUCCAAGAAGAAAAUGUAGCCAUUGGUGCCAUCUAUCGACCACAGGUUAAAGAUUGGCGAUCCGUUGGAUACCGACCGAGUUAUAGGCAAAAUUUGGUGCAAAAAUGAGGAAAAUUUUCAUUUUUUUUGAAUUCUUUGAUUUAUUUAUUAUUUUUCACUCUUUUUUUUAUUUCAAGCAUUAUUAGAGUGAAAAGAAACUCAUUGCAACCCAUUGGCAUUAAAAUAAAACAAUUUAAUUUUUUUUGCAAAAUUUCCCAAAAAAAUCGUAAGGGGUAAGCCUUAUGAAAUUUUCGAGUGGAAAAUUUUUGUGAAAUUUUUUUCUGAUUUUUUAUUCUUUUUUUAAUUUAAAGCACUAUUUAAGUGAAAAGAAACUUAUUGCAACAAAUUCCCAUCAAAAUAUAUCACAUUUAAAAUUUUUGCUACAUUGCUCAAAAAUGAGGAAAAUUUUACAUUUUCUCAAACAGGGUAAGGAACUUGGUUCCUCGAAUAACUUCUGGCACAGACAUCUAAGGGCAUGGCUGUCCAAGAAGAAAAUGUAGCCAUUGGUGCCGUCUAUCGACCACAGGUUAAAGAUUGGCGAUCCGUUGGAUACCGACCGAGUUAUAGGCAAAACUUGGUGCAAAAAUGAGGAAAAUUUUCAUUUUUUUUUAAUUUUUUGAUUUAUUUAUUAUUUUUCACUCUUUUUUUUAUUUCAAGCAUUAUUAGAGUGAAAAGAAACUCAUUGCAACCCAUUGGCAUUAAAAUAAAACAAUUUAAUUUUUUUUGCAAAAUUUCCCAAAAAAAUCGUAAGGGGUAAGCCUUAUGAAAUUUUCGAGUGGAAAAUUUUUGUGAAAUUUUUUUCUGAUUUUUUAUUCUUUUUUUAAUUUAAAGCACUAUUUAAGUGAAAAGAAACUUAUUGCAACAAAUUCCCAUCAAAAUAAAUCACAUUUCAAAUUUUUGCUACAUUGCUCAAAAAUGAGGAAAAUUUUACAUUUUCUCAAACAGGGUAAGGAACUUGGUUCCUCGAAUAACUUCUGGCACAGACAUCUAAGGGCAUGGCUGUCCAAGAAGAAAAUGUAGCCAUUGGUGCCGUCUAUCGACCACAGGUUAAAGAUUGGCGAUCCGUUGGAUACCGACCGAGUUAUAGGCAAAAUUUGGUGCAAAAAUGAGGAAAAUUUUCAUUUUUUUUGAAUUCUUUGAUUUAUUUAUUAUUUUUCACUCUUUUUUUUAUUUCAAGCAUUAUUAGAGUGAAAAGAAACUAAUUGCAACCCAUUGGCAUUAAAAUAAAACAAUUUAAUUUUUUUUGCAAAAUUUCCCAAAAAAAUCGUAAGGGGUAAGUCUUAUGAAAUUUUCGAGUGGAAAUUUUUUUUGAAUUUUUUUUCUGAUUUUUUAUUCUUUUUUUAAUUUAAAGCACUAUUUAAGUGAAAAGAAACUUAUUGCAACCAAUUCCCAUCAAAAUAUAUCACAUUUAAAAUUUUUGCUACAUUGCUCAAAAAUGAGGAAAAUUUUACAUUUUCUCAAACAGGGUAAGGAACUUGGUUCCUCGAAUAACUUCUGGCACAGACAUCUAAGGGCAUGGCUGUCCAAGAAGAAAAUGUAGCCAUUGGUGCCGUCUAUCGACCACAGGUUAAAGAUUGGCGAUCCGUUGGAUACCGACCGAGUUAUAGGCAAAACUUGGUGCAAAAAUGAGGAAAAUUUUAAUUUUUUUUUAAUUUUUUGAUUUUUUUUAUUAUUUUUUACUCUUUUUUUAUUUCAAGCAAUAUUAGAGUGAAAAGAAACUCAUUGCAACCCAUUGGCAUUAAAAUAAAACAAUUUAAUUUUUUUUGCAAAAUUUCCCAAAAAAAUCGUAAGGGGUAAGCCUUAUGAAAUUUUCGAGUGGAAAUUUUUUUUGAAAUUUUUUUCUGAUUUUUUAUUCUUUUUUUAAUUUAAAGCACUAUUUAAGUGAAAAGAAACUUAUUGCAACAAAUUACCAUCAAAAUAUAUCGCAUUUAAAAUUUUUGCUACAUUGCUCAAAAAUGAGGAAAAUUUUACAUUUUCUCAAACAGGGUAAGGAACUUGGUUCCUCGAAUAACUUCUGGCACAGACAUCUAAGGGCAUGGCCGUCCAAGAAGAAAAUGUAGCAUUAAAAUAUAUCAAUUUAAAAAUUUUUGUUAAAUUAAAAAAAAAAAAGCUAAGGCCUUAGGAGAUUUGUUUCGAGGUUUUUUAUGACUCUAUGGUUUUAUGAGUCGUUAAGCGAGCUCACUCGUAAUAAGGACUCAUUAACUCUUAGUUGACUCACUUAAAAGGGUUGUAUUCUCAUCUUCUAUUUGAAACAAAAAUGGUUCUCGCACUUUCAACAAACAUUUUGCAUUCCGUUUAGAACGAGCGCUUUACUAUACUAUACAUUCAGAUCAAUGUCUAUUUUUCAUUUUAAUUUUUCACACAUAUGCAAAUGCUUUCAAUGCACUACUGCAAACAUCCUUAAAUACAAAUCACAACGAAAUGGAUCGUGCAUCACCUCACCACAAAACGGAGGUUGAGCAUUAGUUAAGAGUACGAUAGCGUCUUCGAAGCGGAACCAAUAAAUUUUCUCAUCUCGAACUCCAUUGCUUCACAAAGAUCUUGGGCAUGUUUCGAAAGGUUUACCUGCUUGAACAUGGAACAUACUAGUACAGAACCAAUUGAAGGUAGAGUUCUUUGGUAGAAUUGAGGCAUACAGUACUACGAUAUGUAAGCUUUCUUUCCAUUGGUUGGUUAAGAAAAAUUGUAACCAAUUUUUACCGAGUCAACAACACGUGUGUAAAUAAAUGUUAACUUUUACAUUUGAGGUAUACCAAUCGGUUGGGAAUAUGGGGAAGAGAUUGUAAGCUUUAUUGCCUUGAAGAGCUAUUGAGGAAAGGCGGAGAUCUUAAAAGCAUUGCACUCAAAUGCGUUGAUUGGUAUCAUAACAUUACCUCAUGCGUGCAAAGAGCAAUGAUAUUGAGUAUCGAUUGUAAUUAAACAAUAUGUUUUGUUUAUUAGUUCUAAUGAAGAACUUUUUUUCACAAACAAACAAAAUACAAUCAAAAUGUGUUGAGAAUAUUGAGCGCAUAAAACAUACUAAACAUGUGAGCUGAUAAUAACAUUUCGAUAUUAAUGUAUCCUCCUGAUACGCAUACCAUAAUUCUCCUCGCUCUAAAAACAUCCGGUCUAAUCAAUCAUUUAUAGAAAGCGCUUAGCAGGAUUGCCAAAUGUGUCAACUUAUCGAUUGUCAUAGCAAGGUAGCAAGGAACAUCCUUUAAGUAUAACACAAAUACGGAUCAUUUAUCAUUUUCUUUUCUACGCGCGUAUGUUUGCUAAAUGUUUGCCUUACGAGGUUUACUUUUGGUAAAAAAAUAGAUGAAGCAAGGCUCAUAAAGUUUUUAAUCCCACGUUGGAUGGGUAGUGAUGGCUGGUGGGUGAUUAAGGAAGAAAUGCUUUUAACGACAGGUUCUGAGUAGUCGGAGCGAUAUAGCAGCGCAUUCAAUAUUCAUAUUCAGUGAGGUGCUUAUGCGCAAAUUGUUUUCCAUGUAUGUUUUGAUUGAAGCACUCAAUCAUUUUUCUGGUGGAUAGUGGGUUGGUUUUUGGAAACUUUUCGAGUACCAUUAGUAAAAGAUGUAUGGUAAGUAACAGUCACGGUCAAUAUACAAAGGGAAUAUAUUUCCCUUAUAUUUAAGGUUAUGUAGGAGUACAUUUAAGCGUGAAAUGGUUUCUGGGUGUAUUUUUUGUAAUCAAAAAUUAAAACCCAAUUGAAUUAUUUUUAUAUCGGGAAAUUAUGGAGAGAAGGCAUUCAUCAAUACUUAUUCAUUAAUUAAUUGUGAAUAAAGAGUUUAGUUUUGAAUUGUUUGAUGAGCUUUAGAAAAAAUAGUAAAAUCAAAAUCAUUCUAAAUAUUUAAUAAAUUUCGAAGUCAUAAUUAACCAGGCGCCUCCAUCAUACACUUGUUAAAUGUCUCACAAGGUGAAACCGUGCUAGUAAUACAUAUUUUCAAGACGAUAAUAUCACAAUGUUUUGCUCUUUAAAACUAUCAAAUAUAGAUCAUUCUUUAGCUUACGUUACCCCUGAGGACUCGUAAUAAAUUGACUUCACUCCUUGUUAGUCGAAGAAUAGAAACACAACUAUAAAUCAGCGGCCACAAGUGGUUUCCCGUAUCAGGUUAUCCCGUAAUUGCACGAAUUAGAACGAUGGGAACAGAAAUACUCAAAGAGAAAUCCAGAAAAAUUACUUCAAUUACCAUUUUCGAACCAAUUCCUUGAACGGGCGCAACCAUACAUCGGUUUUCUUGUUUGCUGUUGUUUCUGGUGGCAAAAGUGAAAAUAAAUAAGAAAAUAAAGCAAAAGUGAAAUUCAUGAUACAACAGUUUACUGUUGUAAGAUGGUUUGCAAAAUAGAAACUGCUGGGAGAGUAAAACACAUUUUCGCUUCGCGAAAGAUAGGAAGUUAAUUUAAAGUUUGACAAACGAUUAGGUAGAAUGGAGAACUGAUGCAAAUUGAGUAAUAAUAUAAACACUUUCUAAUUAUCGCUUCAAGUUAAUUUCCUAUGUGAAUGCAUUGUUCAAAAACAAGCCAUAUAAGGAUGCAUUUCUACUAUUUUGAAAAUUUUCAAUUAGCGCAGGAUGGAAAGAUUCCAAUAUGCAUGACUCGAUAUAUUUUUCGACAGCUUUAAACCUUAUCCUACAGCUAUUCUAUUGGGAUUUCCCGAAUUUGGUCCGUGAGACAUGGAAACAGAACUUUUACCAACCGGUCAAAAAACCUGCACUGCAAACCAAUGGGUAAGCUGCGAGAGAGACGAACGGAAAAACCGUUUAAUUAAAUUUUAAUUAAUUAAAAAUUUAUCACUUUCUCGUCAUCGCUUCCUCUGUGGUGGGUGCUGAAGAGCAGUAUGCCAUGGAGCAUCGAACAAAAUGUACGUUCUCACGUACAAAAUGUCGAUCGUCACGACAAAAAGGUCAUGGAGAUGACGAUCCGUAGUGGUUGGUGCCGGAGCUGAGGUUUUGGAAAAUUGUCCUUACGCGAAAUGAGAAGUUUUGUUGUCGAAAUUUGGAGUGGGAUGGCUGUGUGCGGGGGACAAGGUGCCUGUGCUUCCUUGGUGCAGUGAAGCUAAAACUCCGACCGGUGGUAAAAAGAUAGAUGAGCGAAAGUUGGAAUUAGACAAUUGAAGCGAUGCUUCCGAUUACAGAAAACAAAGGCACCCAAUGACACACCGAACAGGAGGAUAAAUCGUUCUAGAUUGUGGUAAUGUGGUUUAUCUGCUUCACUUAACGCUGCCUCGAGAUGAUUGGAAAUGAACAAUUUUUGCAGCUGGACGAAGAUUUUUCAUUUCCGGUCGUAAGCCAAUGGCACAGUUAUAAAAUAUUAUUUUGCUAUUGACAAAUUUUCAUAAAUCUUCUUGCAACCAAUCAAAUACAAUUUGAAUCAUAAAAUUUUCAGAAUAUUGUUAGAAAAUAUUGAGUUUCUGCUUUAUUUUUUGUGUACUCUAUCAAACAAAUAUACUAAAGUGAGGGUUUUCGUUCACUAUCAUCUAUGUGAUCUUAUAUCAAAAUGAGGGAAAAUAGUUCCAUUCCUGAAGCGUAUUGCCAAAGUGUGUUUCUAUUUGUCUAUAUCUUUUGGCAGUAAAAUGGAUUGCAGAUUAUUGGUUCGUCUUUCCCAACCCCAAUCCGUUUACAAGUUCGUUAGUGUAUUUUGCCCAUAAAGAAAACCAUCAGGGUUUGUCUGUUCACUCAAAAUAUGCACAAAUUUUCCUUCCUUCCUUCCUUGGUAAUUAUCUUACGCGAGGGCGGAUUUGUAGAAGUUUUUACAUUAGUGGAUACAAGAGUUUCGUAUUUCGUUUCAUCUACUUUUACACAUUGCUUCUCGCCCGGAAGGUAAAAAUGCGAAGAUUGUCUUGCUGAUGGCAUUGAUGAAAUAGGAUUAGUGGCGUAAAAUGUUUUCCUAUCGCUUGGCCUGUAGGAAUAAAUUCAAUGUUUAGGACGCUAAGGAGCGGUUUACCAAAAAAGGUUGAUAUUAAAGAUGUAGGUUUAAAUUUAGCGAUUCUUAUUUCAAAAUGUUGGUUGGUUUAGAGAAAAUGGUUAUGGUUUAGAGAAAAUAUGUACAAAAUACUGUUCGGAACUGUAGUAGUUGUUAUAAUG